This 253-nucleotide ribosomal RNA is filed under the name uncultured bacterium. Its description in RNAcentral is "partial 16S ribosomal RNA". It matches the Rfam family "Bacterial small subunit ribosomal RNA", at positions 524 to 776 of the family's 1533-position model. The record is from RNAcentral.
CACGUAGGGCGCAAGCGUUGUCCGGAAUUAUUGGGCGUAAAGAGCUCGUAGGCGGUCUGUCGCGUCGGCUGUGAAAACCCGGGGCUCAACCCCGGGCCUGCAGUCGAUACGGGCAGACUAGAGUGCGGUAGGGGAGACUGGAAUUCCUGGUGUAGCGGUGGAAUGCGCAGAUAUCAGGAGGAACACCGGUGGCGAAGGCGGGUCUCUGGGCCGUAACUGACGCUGAGGAGCGAAAGCGUGGGGAGCGAACAGG